RNAcentral lists this long non-coding RNA (457 nucleotides) under Homo sapiens (human). RNAcentral describes it as "HSALNT0160172". Lineage: Eukaryota; Metazoa; Chordata; Mammalia; Primates; Hominidae. The record is from RNAcentral.
UCUCAUUUGUCUUCUUCUUCUUGCUUACUGGAAUCCAAAAUUGAUGUUGGAUCAAGUGCAGCCCUCUUGUCACCAUGAAGUAAUAAGCUUGAUAAGGCACUCACUGAGGAUGACUAAGAAGAAAUUCAAGAGGAAAUCAUUGUCUCUUGAAGAUUCCUGGACCUGUGAAUCUUGGUUAUGGGAGGAAAAGCAUCACAUACUGGACUUUGAUGAAGAGAAUGCACAGCCUUCCAGAGAAGGCAAUACCUUGCCCCAGCCCUGCAAGGUAUUCCUACCCAUCUGGAACUGUGAUGGAGUCUUCAAAAUGCCAUUGCAUUGUUCUACCAAGCCAGCGGCUUCAGGAUGAUGGCUAAUAUAGUAAGACCAGUAAAAUCCACGACCAAGGGCCCAUUGCUGCACUUCUUUCACUCUGAAGUGAGUUCCUUGUUCAGAAUCAAUCCUGUGCAGAAUAUCACGA